CGUGUAGGCGGUUCUGCAAGUCGGGUGUGAAAGCCCUGGGCUCAACCCAGGAAGUGCACUCGAAACUGCAGGACUGGAGUCCCGGAGAGGAAGGCGGAAUUCUCGGUGUAGAGGUGAAAUUCGUAGAUAUCGAGAGGAACACCGGUGGCGAAGGCGGCCUUCUGGACGGCGACUGACGCUGAGACGCGAAAGCGUGGGGAGCAAACA
RNAcentral lists this ribosomal RNA (207 nucleotides) under uncultured bacterium. Its description in RNAcentral is "partial 16S ribosomal RNA". It matches the Rfam family "Bacterial small subunit ribosomal RNA", at positions 568 to 774 of the family's 1533-position model. The record is from RNAcentral.